This is a non-coding RNA of Araneus ventricosus, 73 nucleotides long. The record is from the annotation of a GenBank genome assembly. Lineage: Eukaryota; Metazoa; Arthropoda; Arachnida; Araneae; Araneidae.
UGGCUCCGGCCGGGAUCGAACCGGAGACUUUCGCGUGUAAUAAAGCGAGUGAUAACCACUACACUACGGAACC